This 67-nucleotide unclassified non-coding RNA is filed under the name Flavobacterium saccharophilum. RNAcentral's name for it is "Flavo-1 RNA". Lineage: Bacteria; Pseudomonadati; Bacteroidota; Flavobacteriia; Flavobacteriales; Flavobacteriaceae. The record is from RNAcentral.
CUACAUUCCAGAUAUAAAAAAAGUCCGAAGUUUAAAACUUCGGACUUUUUUUAUAUCUGGAAGAACC